Molecule: long non-coding RNA, 3189 nt
Filed under: Coffea arabica (coffee)
Lineage: Eukaryota; Viridiplantae; Streptophyta; Magnoliopsida; Gentianales; Rubiaceae
Description: long non-coding RNA (CARA_LNC001671)
Source: RNAcentral
UUCGAUCAACAAGGAAUCUGAACCUAUCGCAAUACAACUCAAUAGAAUAGAAUGACGGUGAUAUAUAAGAAAAAAACACCAAGAAAAAUUUAGUAUUACCCAAGGUAAUGUUUGUUUGCAGGGAAUAGUAUGAACAAUUGAAGGAAACUCAGACAUUUUUUCCUUUAUAUAUAUUUUGUUAGAGGAAUGUUGAUUUUUUUUUUUUUUUUUUUUUGCAUUUUUCUGCACUUUCCUCCAUUUUUUUGCCUUGUGAAAAAUUUAACGGAUUUUGUAGAAAAAUAAUUGAUUACUCACAAAAUUUGAAUAACUGCUAUUAAUUGUCACUAGUUACUCAUGUUCUCUCUUUAUAUUUUUCUCGAUAACAGAUUACGUAUAAAGAAAAAUAAAAGGAAGUAAAUAUUAAUUUGCGAUAUACUAGAAAGCCAAGUUAUUGAGAAUCUGUAACGCAUUCAAUUUGGGACACGACUCACUAGAACAUGAAUACUGCAAAAAAAAAAAGAACACUCUUGUUAACUUUGCUGAGCUUGGGUUUUAUCCCAAUAACAGUUGAUGGAAUAAAAUUCAAGUCCAACAAACUUAUGAUUAUUAUUGUUGCCUUUUCUUACAAAAAAAAAAAAAAGAAUAUUGCAAGGAUUGAUUUUGCUAUAAAAAUAAAACAAAAAAAAAGAAUAUCGAAGACAUUUGACUCAAUCUUUUAUCUUUGUUAUUUUUAGACAUGAACAAUCCAGGGCCCCAAUAUGACCACACGAGUAUCCACUAUCCAGUUCAGGUAACAAAAAAUCUGUAUUAGUGGGCAUUGGCCUGCUCUAAUCUAUCGGCAGAAGCGUGCUAUUUUUAGAUGUCUCGGCCCAGCAAUGAGGAGGCUAACACGCUACCCACCAUUGCAGCUUAGGACUUAAAGACGUAAAAGUAAAACAGAGGCUCAGAUUAACCAACCUAUAUAGCAAUUCAAGAGUAUAAACUGUCUGGUUCACUUAUCAAAGGACUAGCAUCAAAUGACAAACUAAAGUUAAGUUGCUUAGAACUAGGGCCGUAAAUGAGCCGAGUCGAGUCGAGUUUUGGCCUAAUCGAGUCGAGUCUUGACUUAGUUUUAUUAAACUCGAACUCGAGUUCGAACUCGACGAGUUGACAAUUUAAAACUCGAGCUCGAAAAAAUUAAAAAUAAUUAUUUAAAAAAAAAUAAAAAAAAUAUUUUUCUUAAUAAAUAAUAAAAUAUCAAGGAUAUAUAUGUAAUUUUACUAUUAUAUAUAUUUAUAUAUACACACACACACACACUUGAGCUCGUGAGCCGGCUCGCAAGUAACGAGUUUAAUAUUUUGAGCUCGAGUUCGAUCUCGAAUUUGACUCGAGCUCGAGCUUGAUAUUGAUUGAGCUCGAAUCGAACUUGACUUGAGCCGCUCGUGAGCGGUUCGAUUCGUUUGCAGCCCUACUUAGAACAUGCACUAAAGAAAGCUUAAUUUUUGUAUUUGUCCAGAAACAGAGCACUCCAAAGUAAAGUGUAGACUGGCCUGUCAAAGCAUUCUAGUAAAACAGUAUGAACCAGGCAACACAUACUCUAUAAUCUAGUCUAGUAACAGGAUAAUGAUUUUCAAGCCUGUUACAGAAAUGUAUUUCAAGAUUCAAUGAACUCUAAUGAAACCAGGUGUCUUGGUACUGUAUGUCUUAAUUCUGACCAUUGCGUACUUGUAAUGACCAUUCCCUUUAGCAUCACAGCCUAGCUGAGAAGGCAUGUAGUGGGAUGUUAUGGCUCAACUCCAUUCACUCAAGAUUGAGGAGAAAAUCCACACAAGCCCUACUUAAUUACCUAAAUUUGGCUUGGACUCAUGAUUAGCAAUCUCGGCCUUGUUCGAUACGACUCAGCUGAGUCACAGAAUGGAGGGGACCGUUAUGAUACCGAUCUCCGAAUCAUGGAUAAUUUUAUAUCUCCGACGACUCGCUCUGAUUCGACUAAUAUUUGCCGAUUUGAAUCCGUGAUGCAUGGAAUCGGUUAAAAUAUCUGAGUCCACUCGAAGUCAAUUCAGAUAUUUUUUCAGAUUGUGCCUUUUAUGAUAUUUUCUAUUUUUAAUAAUUUUUUCAAAACUUUUGAAAUUUUUUAUGUGCUAUAAUGUGUGUAUCACUUGAUAUCCAAUUGAUAUGCCGUGACGAAUGUGGAACAACUACUAUCGUGACGUGAUCGCGAUCCACCAUGGUGAACCAUGCUUGGACUAGUAUUUUGCAAGUAAUUAUUUAUUUCCAAAAAUGUCAAAUAUCAUAAAUCUAGUAGUUUGCAAAAGUUGGAUCAAUUUCACUAUCUCAAUAAUGACCGACUCUCCUCCAAGGAAAAAAUUCAUUAAGACCAAUGCACAGAAGCCCAGAAAAACAAGAAAGAAACAGGAACUGAAAAGAUAGGAACCAAAACUCAAUAACAGCAUGCAUCCACAAAUAGUGGUCGAAUAAUAUCCAUAGCACCACUUCUUUUUAACAUCAAAUCCUCAGCAAAAAUAUCAAUAGAAGUCAGGCAUCAUUAGCUUUAAUACCAAUUAAGUUAGGCAUCAUUAUCUUAUUAUAUAGCAAACAAGAGAACUCCAUCAUCAUCGUUCGGUCUCGCAGGAAACAAAUGAUUUUGUAUUCAACUUAAAAGGCAGAAGCUUUAUCGAUUUAUGCAGAAAAAGAUCUGACCUUUCGGCACUUCUCUUAAAAAAUGUAACUAUCCUAGUUAGAUUUAUGAUUCUUAAAGAUACCAUAUGUUCUCGAAAAAAUUACCUCUCUACCGAGCUUGAGCAGGAGGAGGAGGAUUAGCUUCACGUCUGAUGACAAGAACAUCAAGCUGCCCGAUUCUAUAGGUCUAGACGUCCAAGACGGGAUGAUCGGCACCAAACCCUCCAGCUAUAUAUGCUCGGAUGGAAUUUCCGAAUACUCUAGUUGCGCUGUUUUCUGUAUGCUUCACUAUGAAGGUUUUAUAAGCACCUAACCUCCUUACUGUGAUAUCCAUUCCAUCAUCUCCUUCAAUUGCACGUCUCCUCUGGUCAUUUUGUCUCCAAGCUUUUGCAGUUGGACCGUUAUCGCAGCUAGUUCCCACAUGUAAGUCGUUUUGCAGAGACACGUCGGCUGAGUGGCAUUGGGAGGAACAGGAAAUUCUUGAAAGGGGUAUGGCGGAUUCUCUGCGGGCGGUCUAGUUCUGGGUCUUGCGGCUGUCAUGCUUAUGGACUU